UGGGGAAUUUUGGACAAUGGGGGCAACCCUGAUCCAGCCAUGCCGCGUGAGUGAAGAAGGCCUUCGGGUUGUAAAGCUCUUUCGGACGGAACGAAAUGGUUACGGAUAAUACCUGUGACUGAUGACGGUACUGUAAGAAGAAGCACCGGCUAACUACGUGCCAGCAGCCGCGGUAAUACGUAGGGUGCGAGCGUUAAUCGGAAUUACUGGGCGUAAAGCGUGCGCAGGCGGUUCGCCAAGUCAGGUGUGAAAUCCCCGGGCUUAACCUGGGAAUUGCGCUUGAAACUAGCGGGCUUGAGUGUGGCAGAGGGGGGUGGAAUUCCACGUGUAGCAGUGAAAUGCGUAGAGAUGUGGAGGAACACCGAUGGCGAAGGCAGCCCCCUGGGUCAACACUGACGCUCAUGCACGAAAGCGUGGGGAGCAAACAGGAUUAGAUACCCACGUAGUCCCUGAGCGGGCUGGCAAGGCGCAU
This 472-nucleotide ribosomal RNA is filed under the name uncultured bacterium. RNAcentral's name for it is "bacterial SSU rRNA". It matches the Rfam family "Bacterial small subunit ribosomal RNA", at positions 355 to 825 of the family's 1533-position model. The record is from RNAcentral.